This is an RNA transcript of Poecilia latipinna (sailfin molly), 2338 nucleotides long. RefSeq lists it as uncharacterized. The record is from RefSeq and is a predicted model, not a curated record. The transcript has 6 exons. Lineage: Eukaryota; Metazoa; Chordata; Actinopteri; Cyprinodontiformes; Poeciliidae.
AAAGACUUCAGUGGUGUAAACAAGACUUCUCCUCAAGAUGCAUGGACUGGUUGCUUUGAUUCUUCUUAGUACUGUUUGUAUUAUAGAGACUGCAGAAGUUCCUCGUUUGAUCUCCACAACUGAGAGGAAACCUGGUGAUAAUGUUACCUUUUCCUGUCAAUCGUCUAAUGAUCACAGAUUCAGUCAGUGGUAUAAACAGUCUCCUGGAAAGAUGAUCCAAACAAUGGCUACUGGAGUUUAUGGAAAAAUGACAGCAACUAAGACAUUCAGUAAUACUCGUUUCCAAUUCCGUAGAGAAAACAAUGAGAUGUCUCUUACCAUACAUUCUGUUAAAAAAGAAGAUGAAGCUGUAUACUUCUGCCAAAGUGGAACUGAAUUUUUGCUAACUUUUCAUAAUGGAUUCCUCUUGGUUGUAAAGGACUGUAAUCAACAGACAUCUGUCUAUGUGGAACAAACUCCAGACGCUGCAGCGGUCCAGCCAGGAGACACCGCCAGUCUCCAGUGUUCCCUUUUUUCAGCGAAAAGUGAAACAAGACCUCGGUGUCCAGGAGAAAACUUUGUUCACUGGUUCAAAUCUGGAUCUGGAAGCUCUUAUCCAAGUAUCAUUUACACAGCAAGGAAUAGCACAGACAAUGCAACGAAGAGAAGCUGUGUCUACCACCUCUCAAAAACAGUAGAGGACGCCUCUGAUUUUGGAACUUACUACUGCGCUGUGGCCAUCUGUGGAGAAAUACUCCUAGGUGGUGGAAGCAAACUGGAAACCAAACAGAACAAGACUCAAGUGUUCUUGUGCUUGGAGGAUUGUUGGGGUGCUGCGUGAUUGUGAUUAUCGGCCUUAUCUUCUACAUAACUGGAAGGAGAGUGUCCGACAGUGCUGAAGGAAUAAGAGGAUCACAUCAUGCUGAAGAUGAAACUUUGACUACUUAUCAAACAAAGAACUUGAAUAAAGAAGAGAAUAUGACCUACGCAGAGGCACUGAAUUUCCCUGCAGCAAAUGUGAGAAACUGCAAGAAAGUGACCACAGAAUGUGUGUAUUCUUCAGUCAAAGCAAAUUCAAAAAAACAGCAGCAGCUCUGAUUAGAGCCUAAGUAUUUGCACCAGACUCCAAAAAACAGGACUAAGAUCAAUCAAGCAAAAGAUGUUUGACUCUAUUUCUGAGUGCAAGAUUUUUCAUGUCUGUUCAUGUCGACUUCCUACUUUCUGGAUACAUUCUUGUAUUUAAGACCUUCAGCUCAUUGAAAACAGAUAAGUUUUGGUAUUAACAAGUCAUCUCUUGGUGUUAAUAAAGUACAGCAUGUCUUUGAAACAGACGUUUUUCAGUCAAUGUCAGGGAAAACUCGUGGUCUUUAAAAAAUAAUAAACAUUUCAAAAGUUCUGAUUCAGCAAUUAGAAAAAUAUAUAUUAGCUGCAAAGAUGUUUUUAUGAUGUAAAACUGAUUAAAUACUUGAAUUAGAAAAUUUGGCGUUUGGUUUUGGUCCAAGUCAUUGAAACUCUUUUAAAUGUUGUUUUUUGGACUGAUUUAAAGAAAAGACAUGUCAAUUAUUUCCAAUUCUAUUGUAACUUUAACACUUUUGAUUUAACAUAAGGGUAGAAAAAACUACAGCAAAAAUUGCCAUGAUAGACUUCAUCUUCUCUCGUCGAUUGUUUAAAAUCCACCACAAUGCUCUUCUAUUACAACAUAAGUGAUGAGUAAAGAACAAAUGACAAUUUCAUAAUCAGUUACUCCACAGGUUUUGAUGAAUUCACUUCUUCAAACUGUGUAUGUCUAAUUCCAUCAUGUAAUAAAAAUAAUAAUAAAAGUAAUAAAAACUCCUCUGUGCUUCAGUGAGAAUCCCAUCUUAAAUGUGACCCUAAUAAACAUUCAUCUUAACUGUUGCUAGUUUCUUAAAACAUCAAGCUUUUAAAUAAAAUUUCAAGUGUAUUUGUUCUUAUCUACCAAAUGUCAGACAAACUGGUAAUAACUUCACUGAAUGAAUACCAGAUGUUUUUCUACAAAUAAAUCUCAGGUCUGGUAAAGCAAAUAAGCAGAUAAAUGUAAUGUAGAUCAUCUCUUCUCACUGUUCAUGUGUUUGUCAGAACAUUUCUCAAUAAAUAUGCUAUUUGUUUUUGAUUAUUAAAAUGUCUUAGAAUGUUUCUUGUGUAUUGUUCUAGUUUCUCUGUCAUAACAUAUUGAAAUGUGUUAACGUUAAAGUAUCCUGUACAUGUAUUACCUUGUGUGAAUUUCCAAGUCAGGCCACUUAACCCAUAAAAAAACAAAUAAAAUCAAAACCUAGUACUUUAUUCAUUGGAAAUCAGAUAAUGGUUUGCUAUCCAGUGUCUUACUUUGGUUUAAUAAACA